This 1415-nucleotide ribosomal RNA is filed under the name metagenome. RNAcentral describes it as "bacterial SSU rRNA". It matches the Rfam family "Bacterial small subunit ribosomal RNA". The record is from RNAcentral.
AGAGUUUGAUUCUGGCUCAGAACGAACGCUGGCAGCGUGGGUGAGGCAUGCAAGUCGAACGGGAUCCAGAGAGUAGCAAUACAAUCUGGUGAGAGUGGCGUAAGGGUGAGGAACACGUGGGUAACCUACCCUGAAGUUGGGGAUAACCCGCCGAAAGGUGGGCUAAUACCGAAUGUGGUUGUCCCUCGCAUGGGGGACGUACUGAAGGCGGGGAUUCUUCGGAACCUGUCGCUUCAGGAGGGGCCCGCGUCCCAUCAGCUUGUUGGUGAGGUAAUGGCCCACCAAGGCUUACGGGUAGCUGGUCUGAGAGGAUGGUCAGCCACACUGGGACUGAGACACUGCCCAGACUCCUACGGGAGGCUGCAGUCGAGGAUCAUUUGCAAUGGGCGAAAGCCUGACAGUGCGACGCUGCGUGGAGGAUGAAGGCCUUCGGGUUGUAAACUCCUGUCAUUCGGGAACAAGAGCGGGAGGGAUAACAUUCCUUCCGAUUGAUGGUACCGGUAGGGGAAGCCACGGCUAACUCUGUGCCAGCAGCCGCGGUAAUACAGAGGUGGCGAGCGUUGUUCGGAUUUACUGGGCGUAAAGGGUGCGUAGGUGGUCUCGUAUGUCGGAUGUGAAAUCCCACUGCUCAACGGUGGAACUGCAUUCGAAACUGCGGGACUAGAGUACAGGAGAGGAGAGCGGAAUUCUUGGUGUAGCGGUGAAAUGCGUUGAUAUCAAGAAGAACACCGGUGGCGAAGGCGGCUCUCUGGAAUGUAACUGACACUGAGGCACGAAAGCUGGGGGAGCAAACAGGAUUAGAUACCCUGGUAGUCCCAGCCCUAAACGGUGUACACUUGGUGUGGGGAGAUUUGACCCUCCCCGUGCCGUAGCUAACGCGUUAAGUGUACCGCCUGGGGAGUACGGCCGCAAGGCUAAAACUCAAAGAAAUUGACGGGGGCCCGCACAAGCGGAGGAGCAUGUGGCUUAAUUCGAUGCAACGCGAAGAACCUUACCUGGGCUUGACAUGCAUUUUGUCGGCGGUGAAAGCCGCCUAGUGUAGCAAUACACGGGAUGCACAGGUGUUGCAUGGCUGUCGUCAGCUCGUGUCGUGAGAUGUUGGGUUAAGUCCCGCAACGAGCGCAACCCCCGUGUCCUGUUGCCAGCGCGUAAUGGCGGGAACUCUGGACAGACUGCCUAGUUUAACUGGGAGGAAGGUGGGGAUGACGUCAAGUCAGUAUGGCCCUUACGCCCAGGGCUGCACACGUACUACAAUGCCCGGUACAAUGUGAACCGAAACCGCGAGGUGGAGGAAAUCCUUAAAACCGGGCCCAGUUCGGAUUGGAGGCUGCAACUCGCCUCCAUGAAGCCGGAAUCGCUAGUAAUGCCGCAUCAGCUACGGCGGCGUGAAUACGUUCCCGGGUCUUGUACACACC